RNAcentral lists this long non-coding RNA (3070 nucleotides) under Sus scrofa (pig). Lineage: Eukaryota; Metazoa; Chordata; Mammalia; Artiodactyla; Suidae. The record is from RNAcentral.
UUAGAGUCUCCUUCCCACUUGGCCGAGCCCAGACCUGCGUCUUCGCUUUCAGCUCUGCUGUCCCACGAGUUUUCUCAUCACCUCAGUGAGACGAAAGGGCUGAGCCUGCCAGAGUCAAGGGUCAGAGAUGGGGUUGGAAGUGGCACUUGCAGCACUCUGAGGAUGUGCCCAGCAAAGAAAGCUCUAGUAGACAAACGUCCAAAUGAUUGGCGAGACUGCUAAGGGUUCUGACUGACUUCAGAUUCUGCAGAAGCUAACACCGGAUACCAAAAUGUGUGGGAUUGAAUACUGGGCUUGCAGGGCUCCCAGGUCAGGCGUGCAUGGUGUUUGACCUCCGGACAGCUGGAGGGUGUUCAUGAAUAGAAUCCUCAAAAGCAGCGCUGCUUUGGUCAGCAGGUUGGGUCCCCAGAGACAGGUCUCUUGAGGGCUCUCUGAAAUGUUUCUUCUUUUUUGUCCAUCUGAGCCUCUCCCCUCCUCUCAUUCCCCCUGAGGGGAACAUCUUGUCUCUGUCCAAGUCCCAGAAAUGAUGAGUGGGACACAGAUUCAUUGACAUCUGGUCACCAGAUUUGGAUGGGUUCACCUCAAGGAUUUAGAGCAGUGGGGAAGGAUUGGGAGGAGUGAGUGCCAUGGCUGACUUUGAGGAAAAAUCACCCCCCUGUAUGGUGCUGGCUUGUCCUCAAGUCAGAAGAGGGAUUAAAUGGACUAUCGAAUGCACUAGCCCAGGGCAACCCAUCCAGGGGGUCUGUUCAUGGGGCAGGAGGCAGGGCUGUGAGUUGUCCUUCAGAGAAUAGCCACCAAGGAGGCCAAAGCAUGGCCCAAGCCUAGGAGCUGCUUGGCAGUGGUGCCUCCAGGCUCAGAGAUGGGGUUUGAGAUGGGAAUGGGUGGAUCCCCCAGGAGGGGUCCAUCGAAAAGCCUUACUGAAAGGGCCAGAACACUCUCCAGUCCAAUUUGGCUCACCUGGUAAAGGGAAUGUGUUCUGCCUUCCAAAUAUCAGGGUCACCUUCAGUCGACUGAGUUACCCCAAAGCCCACUUUUUUGUACACGGCCUCAGGGUUCAUAUGGCCCUGUGGUUCUCCGGAAGUAGAGCUGUGAACACACAGGCAGCUGGAGUAUGGGGCAUGCAGUUUUCCAGAGUCCAGGGUUUUGACCUGUGGUGAGCUGGGCUGCUGGUCAUCAAUGAAGGAUGAGUGUAAAAGCUGACAGCUUGAGGUGGGCAGACGGUCUUUAUGAAGGGACCCUCUCUCUCUUGGAUGUGUUCUGCAAAAUUCCUUAGAUUUUCCUCCAUCUGAACCUCUCCCUCCUUUUGAGCACCACUGAGGGAACGCAUUACCUGAAACCAGGUGACACAAAAUAUGGGCUGGCCAAGCCUGGCGUGAUGGGGAACAGUGUAAAACCAGUUGCCUGACUUGAAGUGUGUUCUGCUGAUGGACUCAAAGUGCUGACAGACAGGGAACAUGGUGGCAGGUCAAAGAUUUAGAGAGAAAAAUACCACCUUCCAUCAAGAUAUAAAUUGUUGGGGGGGGCACCAAAUCAAGCUCUCGGGUGCUCAAGAGCAGUGCCAACAGAACUGGGUGUGCUCAGGAAGGAGAAGUUUGACAUGUGUGUGGCUGAGAGUGGUUCUGGCCACUAGAGGACAAGGAGCUAUGACAUGCCCAGCUUCUGUUCCGCGUUGACACUGGCAGGCUCAGGGAUGGGUUUGGAGGUGGCGCUGGUGGCAGACCAAGGAUGUGCCCAGUGAGGAAACUCAAGUUACAGGUUGCUUCUGACCCUCAGGCCCCCAAAACUUCCUCUGUGAGUGGGUGCAUUGUUCUUCCUACACGACUAAAUGGUCUUUUCCUUGGGGAUCAUGGAGCCCGACCUACAGAUGAUUUGACAGCCUAUCUGGACCGGGAGACACUGGUGGUCAGAAAGGCUUUGGGUUCUCCAGCAGAAUAACCCUGAAUCCACAGGUUUGAGCCUUGGGCAUGUCCGUUUAGGAGAAUGGGGCUUUUGUCGGGAUGGCAUCUGGAAAGCAGUGCUUGGGGACCUGAGUGGAGUGUGUAGAAGCAGCAUUUCUGGCUGGCCGGGUUGUGCUCCUUCCCAGGUCUAAGUCUCAGAUUCCUCCCUAGAGCUCCUUUUUUCCUUUUCCCCCUGAGCCUCAGCAUCCUGUAAGUUACCCAUGAGGAAUGAAACAUAAUGAGAACUAAGUCGCAGGUAUUAAGGCAGGAGGAUGACUAUAAAGCUGGUGGGCUGACUUGAAGUGGGAUUGGCCGGUGGACAUAGGGUGGUGGUGUUGGAUAGGGAGGAGGAGGGGAGACUUUCAGAGAGACUUCUAGGCAUCUGUAAGGCACAUGGGGGGGUUACUUAGAGUGAGAGUAGGAGGGAGUUAGGCCUUAAGGUGAACAAGGUGAGUGCGGUGCAUCCAUGGUUUGCUCAGAAGGAACAAACUCUGAGUUGUUAUUAGAGAUACUGGCUGCCAGAAGGCGAUGGAGCACCAGCAGAGCCCAGCAGCUAUUUGUCAUAGGAGAAUCUGAACCAGGAGGCUGGGAGUGGUGGAUCCUCAUGAGACAUGCCUUCUGAGGAGGGCUGGGUUACAGGUUGCCUCUGACUCUCGGGUCUAAAUUAACUCACCUGAAUGAAAGACCUUCCCUUUCCAUCUGUGGGUCGCAUUCAGACAGCUUGGGCAGCCUAAAGUCCAGAUGAUGGGGCAGGCUGUCUAGAGUUCUGACUGCCUUUGGAUUCUACAGAGGCUGUAUCCGAGAUAAAAGGCAUGGAAUUUAAUACUGGCCUUGCAGGGUACCCUGAGGAGGCUUGAACAGUGUUUGUCCUCUGGGAAGUUGGGCAGGUGGUCAUGAAUGGAGGGUGCAAAAGCAGCAGUUCCUUGCUUGGGCCCCAGAUUGCAUUUGCCCCAGAGACUGGUCUCUUGAGGGUUCUCAGAAAAGAUUCUUUUUUUCCUCCUGAGCCUCUCCCAUCUUCUCUUUACCCUGAGUGGAAAAUCUUACAUCUGGCCAAGUCCCAGAUAAGAUUAUGAAGCUGAUUCAUUGAAAUCUGGUCACAUGAUCUGAAGGGUGUUCGACUCAAGGAAUUUGAG